Molecule: microRNA precursor, 161 nt
Filed under: Oryza brachyantha (malo sina)
Lineage: Eukaryota; Viridiplantae; Streptophyta; Magnoliopsida; Poales; Poaceae
Description: MIR812 microRNA precursor family
Rfam family: MIR812 microRNA precursor family
Source: Rfam by way of RNAcentral
UAUAAUCUUUGAUUAUUCAUCUUAUUUGAAACUUUUUUGUGAUUAAUAUUUUUAAGAGAUGAUAAAAUAUGAAUAAUACUUUGCACGUGACUAAUGUUUUUAAAAAAAAUAUAAAAUUUUUAAAUAAGAUGGAUAGUCAAAAGGUUAGACACGGAAAUCGA